RNAcentral lists this ribosomal RNA (73 nucleotides) under Pseudomonas syringae pv. actinidiae. Lineage: Bacteria; Pseudomonadati; Pseudomonadota; Gammaproteobacteria; Pseudomonadales; Pseudomonadaceae. The record is from RNAcentral.
CUUGACGACCAUAGAACAUUGGAACCACCUGAUCCCAUCCCGAACUCAGCAGUGAAACGAUGUAUCGCCGAUG